AGCGAACGCUGGCGGCAGGCUUAACACAUGCAAGUCGAGCGGGCGUAGCAAUACGUCAGCGGCAGACGGGUGAGUAACGCGUGGGAACAUACCUUUUGGUUCGGAACAACACAGGGAAACUUGUGCUAAUACCGGAUAAGCCCUUACGGGGAAAGAUUUAUCGCCGAGAGAUUGGCCCGCGUCUGAUUAGCUAGUUGGUGAGGUAACGGCCCACCAAGGCGACGAUCAGUAGCNGGUCUGAGAGGAUGAUCAGCCACAUUGGGACUGAGACACGGCCCAAACUCCUACGGGAGGCAGCAGUGGGGAAUAUUGGACAAUGGGCGCAAGCCUGAUCCAGCCAUGCCGCGUGAGUGAUGAAGGCCCUAGGGUUGUAAAGCUCUUUUACCCGGAAGAUAAUGACUGUACCGGGAGAAUAAGCCCC
This 421-nucleotide ribosomal RNA is filed under the name uncultured bacterium. RNAcentral's name for it is "bacterial SSU rRNA". It matches the Rfam family "Bacterial small subunit ribosomal RNA", at positions 29 to 494 of the family's 1533-position model. The record is from RNAcentral.